RNAcentral lists this ribosomal RNA (314 nucleotides) under uncultured bacterium. RNAcentral's name for it is "bacterial SSU rRNA". It matches the Rfam family "Bacterial small subunit ribosomal RNA", at positions 182 to 507 of the family's 1533-position model. The record is from RNAcentral.
GAAACCGCAUGAUUUUGAUUUUAAAGAUUUAUCGCUGCAAGAUGGACCCGCGUCUGAUUAGCUAGUUGGUGAGGUUAAACGGGCCCACCAAGGCGACGAUCAGUAGCCGGGCCUGAGAGGGUGAACGGGCCACAUUGGGACUGAGACACGGCCCAAAACUCCUACGGGAGGCAGCAGUGGGGAAUAUUGCACAAUGGGGGAAACCCUGAUGCAGCGACGCCGCGUGAGUGAAGAAGUACUUCGGUAUGGUAAAGCUCUAUCAGCAGGGAAGAAAAUGACGGUACCUUGACUAAGAAGCACCGGCUAAAUACGUG